Molecule: ribosomal RNA, 492 nt
Filed under: uncultured bacterium
Lineage: Bacteria
Description: partial 16S ribosomal RNA
Rfam family: Bacterial small subunit ribosomal RNA
Source: RNAcentral
AGUGAACGCUGGCGGUAGGCCUAACACAUGCAAGUCGAACGGCAGCACAGUAAGAGCUUGCUCUUACGGGUGGCGAGUGGCGGUCGGGUGAGGAAUACAUCGGAAUCUACUUUUUCGUGGGGGAUAACGUAGGGAAACUUACGCUAAUACCGCAUACGACCUACGGGUGAAAGCAGGGGAUCUUCGGACCUUGCGCGAUUGAAUGAGCCGAUGUCGGAUUAGCUAGUUGGCGGGGUAAAGGCCCACCAAGGCGACGAUCCGUAGCUGGUCUGAGAGGAUGAUCGGCCACACUGGAACGUGGACACGGUCCAGACUCCUACGGGAGGCAGCAGUGGGGAAUAUUGGGCAGUGGGCGCAAGCCUGAUCCAGCCAUACCGCGUGGGUGGAGAAGGCCUUCGGGUUGUAAAGCCCUUUUGUUGGGAAAGAAAAGCAGCAGGUUAAUACCCCGCUGUUCUGACGGUACCCAAAGAAUAAGCACCGGCUAACUUCGUG